UUUCGUUUUCAAUCCGCGUUGCCCCUCCAAUGAACCCGUGUUGCCUCCUCGUUGAACCCGUGUUUCCGCCGUGUUUACCCCAACGUUCGUUAAUCUUCUUCCUUUGUUUACCCCAAGGUUCGUCAAUCUUCUUCCUUCACUUCCGCCGAACAAACAUUAUUAUGUGUAUUUCUUUCGAUUCAGGCCUCCUUCUUUUCUGGUUGAAUUCGGUGUUUUUCUUCUACUUGUCUCAUUCGCGAGUUUCAUCGGCGCGUGUUGUCGCGUGAGAUGGCUUCUCUGGAUUUACCUUUUUCGUUAUGUUCAUUCUCAUCCUUCUUCUCUUCGUCUUCACCAUCUCUGCGUUCACCGUCACCAACAAAGCCGCCGGAAAAGUUCUCUCAAACAAAGGAUAUAAAGAGUACAGACUCGGUGAUUACUCCAACUGGCUACAGAAUCGCGUCAGGAACAAAGAUUGGAACAGAAUAAAAAACUGUCGACGACAAGGUGUGUGUCGAAUUCAACUAGAAAAUCGCUUCUGAAACCAUUGCGCAAUUCUACCAAGAACACUUAUCUUCAAUUCAGUUUGGGUGUUGCAAACCGGCAGAUGAGUGUAAUUUCACGUACAAGGCACCGACUCAGUGGGAAAAACCGGCGAAUGUUUCAAGUUUUUCGAAUCCGGAUUGUGGUUCGUGGGAUAAUAGACCUGAAAAGUUGUGCUUUUGAUUGAGAAUCCUGCAAAGGUGGAGUGUUGGAUAAUUUGAAAAGGAACCGGAAGGUACUGGUUUAGCAGAGAAGGCGAUGGUGGUUCUGAGUAGCCUGGCUAGGAUUCAAGAGGGAAAGAAUGCGAUUGUGGAAGAGGGUGGAAUUGUUGCGCUUGUAGAAGCAAUUGAAGAUGGGUCGGUGAAAGGGAAAGAAUUUGCAAUGUUGACACUCUUGCAAUUGUGUGUUGAGAGGUGAGAAAUUGAGGGUUGCUCGUGAGUGAAGGUGGAAUUCCCCAUUUAGUUGCACUUUCUCAGACUGGAAGCGUUCAAGCAAAGCAUAAGGCAGAAACACUUCUAGGUAUAUAAGAUAACCAAGACAAGUUGCAUCAUCAUCAAGUCCUUAACAAUUGGCCUGAUAUGGUUUUUUUAGGAGGUAAUUGUAUUAUUAAGUAGUGGUAUCGUGUAUAGGAAGUGGUUUUUUUGAUGGUUUGUACAACAUGGUUGAGAAUGUUGGAAGAAUGAAGUUUAUAGAAUGAAGUUAGUGCAGUUAGUAAAGCCAAAAAGCUGACGGUUAGAGAAAAAGUUGUAUGAUUUUUAACUAGGUUAUGAGAUAUCCUUUUUAAUGACAUUCCAAUUUACUAAAUAGUGUAAUAUCACUUGGUUUGAUUUUCUGGGUUUGGGGAUUUGAUGAAAUUCUGAUUGGUGGUUGUGUGUCUUGAACUUAAAUUCUGUGGAACUCAUCACCUUUCUUGUAGCUCUAUGUGAAGUACAUUGAAGUUCUGUAAUUUACAUAAUUUAUUUUUCA
Molecule: long non-coding RNA, 1485 nt
Organism: Cucumis melo (muskmelon)
Lineage: Eukaryota; Viridiplantae; Streptophyta; Magnoliopsida; Cucurbitales; Cucurbitaceae
Exons: 3
Source: RefSeq, a predicted model, not a curated record